ACAGGGUUGUCAGGGUUGAAAGAAGACCAGAGACUUGCCAAUGAUGGAGGAAGUUGAACUUGAAGCCUGCCUGGAUCUCUUGUCUGUGGUUGGGGAGGAGGAAACCAUGAGGAGGACUGGGAAGGGAGCAUUUGUACAGUUUGAAUGACGCUGAGCAUGGUCCCACAGGGCCUCCUUGCACAGUGACCCCCCUUCCAUGUCUGGGAAGCUGGUUCUGCCUCACAUGGAAACCUGCAAAGGUGACGCUGCCUCUUAAGUCGUGGGCCCCAGCAUGCCAUUGGAGACAAAUGAUACUAAUGGUUGCAGGCAGGGUGGACAGAACCCGAUUUGGAGAGGCUCUCGUGCUCCCAGGGGCUGGGCACAUUGACUGUGGAAAACUCCCAUCUGAGGCCUUCCCUUGGAGUUGGUCCCUGCUGGGGGCUCCUUGGAGCAGCCUUCACCCAAGGCCUGGCCAGUUCAAGGACACAGGGACCUUGCCCCUUUCUUAGUUCAGGACCAGUGUUAACUCAAGGAAGUGCAUGCUAGCUAGUGAGUGCCUGGGGGUGGGCCAAGGCCUCUGAGCACAGGCCUCACAGUGGGGCAGUUCCCUCUGCUGGCUCUGCUCCUGGGGCACCCCCUCGCUUUGUGAUUCUUUUUUUUUUUUUAAUAAUUCUCCUUUUUUAUUUAUUUAUUUAUGAUAGUCACAGAGAGAGAGAGAGAGGCAGAGACACAGGCAGAGGGAGAAGCAGGCUCCAUGCACCAGGAGCCUGAUGUGGGAUUCGAUCCCGGGUCUCCAGGAUCGUGCCCUGGGCCAAAGGCAGGCGCCAAACCACUGCGCCACCCAGGGAUCCCUCGCUUUGUGAUUCUGAGAGCACCUCUCUCCCAACUUCCUGCGUGCAGAUCUGCCCCUUAGAAUCUGGAUGGUUCUAGAAGUAGACCUGAGACAGUUGCUGCCAGCACUAAGCCACAGAAACGGACUCGAAAAUGAAAUAUUGGCCCUGAAUGCUGGGCUGCUGGCUGGGGGUAAAACCCCACCUCUCCGCUCACAGGGAGAGAUUGGAGAGCCCCUGGCUGAUGGGGGUAUUGCAAUUGUGAAGACUCCCCAGGGGUGAAUUGCUACGGAUUUUGGUGAAGGAAAUGCACUCGUGCGUACAAUAUCUCAAAAGUUCCAGAGAUCCAGGGAGAAAUAAUCAUCAUCAAGGCUGUGGAACAGGGGUAACUCCUGCUAGUGGCCCUGGUACAUUAGCGUAAGACCAAGAGAAGCUGGGGGUGAUUAAUCACCACCUGAAGGCAAAGUGUUGAGUCCGCAGGUGGUCUCGGAUGCAUGUGAAGCAACUCAACCUUCUGUUCCUGUGAGGCAGGGAAAGCUAAGGAUCGGGCUCAGGACUUAACUGGAAGAGUAGCUAAGCUGCGGAGAAGCAACGUGGAAAUCCCACCCCCAGCAAGUCUCUGUCUCAGGGUGUGGGCUGCCGCGGGGAAAGUAUGGGACCCUGGCACUGGUGUUCGGUGCGCUGAGGCACCUUGGAUCUGUGAACCCUCUGAGUCUGCAGAAAGGACCCGCUCCUCCCCGUAACGGGCCAGUGCUCGGCCCUCGUUCUAAAGGUGACGCGCAGGCCUCUGCCCUGGGAGGCCACCAGCACCCCAUUUAGGACACAACCCACCUCUGCUACCGGCAAGCAGCUGUGUCGGUAGGGCUGACUCACAAUAUAACCCGGCCAGAAAGUGCCAGGCCCCCUAAGGGAGGAAAGCCACUGUACUUUGAAGAAGCUGUGGGACUUGGCCAACACGUGCCACCAGAGGCUGGGAGUCCAUGGAUUGGACCAGAUUCUGAGGGUGCUGGAUCAGGGGAAUAGAAUGCAAAGUAGGGGAAGAGGUAGUUUUUCACUAUGUGGCACAGGAGUGACUCUGACAAGCACCUGGGAGUCUGAAGGUGGUUCUUAGAAGCUUGGAAAAAGUAAUGGCCCACGCCAAGGGCAGCAGGAAUGUGAGAGCAGCUGAGACAAAUGAAGGGAAAAGAGGAAAUACAAGCUUGAGGACCCAGGACUUCCCUGUGCCAAGAGGAAGAAUGAAUGGAAAACUGGACCCAGGAGAUACAACUACAAACAUGAAAGCAACCAAGACCGAGGAGAGUUUAGCACUUUUAAGACUUCCAUGUACCAUUAUAUGGAAGAUGUGCAGGAUAAUGGAAUCUACACCUAUGCCAUUGGAAAGCUUGAGUUGAGCAGAUGGAGCCCAGUGUUCUAGAAAUCCAAGGAAGCCAGAGAUCACAGGUCAGAAGUAUGGAGAGGAGAGAAGAGGAAAGAAGAGAAACGAAGGACAGUGCUACCUUAAGAUUUAAAGACUUCUUCCACUCUUCAGAAAAUACCAGUGUUCUACAGCGCAGAUGUUAAAAAGCAGGACUUUGGUAAACCAUCUACUCAUAAAGUAUCUUUCUGCGAAUACUGCCAAAAGUAUUUAUCCUGGAUGUGUUACUUGCUCCCAAAGGAAGGAAGGGGAAGUGAAACCACUAGGGAUAUAAUGAAUUGAUUCUUCUCUGUGAAAGUCUCUUCAGCACUUCUAAAUUACAGUGUCAGUCAUUCCUCUGAGAGACAGGGCCUGCUGACAAUAAAUAAGUGGUUCACUUUAUAAGAA
Molecule: long non-coding RNA, 2610 nt
Organism: Canis lupus familiaris (dog)
Lineage: Eukaryota; Metazoa; Chordata; Mammalia; Carnivora; Canidae
Exons: 4
Source: RefSeq, a predicted model, not a curated record